AUGAACGCUGGCGGCGUGCCUAAUACAUGCCCGUAGAACGCUGAAGGAGGAGCUUGCUCUUCUGGAUGAGUUGCGAACGGGUGAGUAACGCGUAGGUAACCUGCCUGGUAGCGGGGGAUAACUAUUGGAAACGAUAGCUAAUACCGCAUGACAACAGUUAUUGCAUGAUAACUGUUUAAAAGGGGCAACUGCUCCACUACCAGAUGGACCUGCGUUGUAUUAGCUAGUUGGUGAGGUAACGGCUCACCAAGGCGACGAUACAUAGCCGACCUGAGAGGGUGAUCGGCCACACUGGGACUGAGACACGGCCCAGACUCCUACGGGAGGCAGCAGUAGGGAAUCUUCGGCAAUGGACGGAAGUCUGACCGAGCAACGCCGCGUGAGUGAAGAAGGUUUUCGGAUCGUAAAGCUCUGUUGUAAGAGAAGAACGAGUGUGAGAGUGGAAAGUUCACACUGUGACGGUAUCUUACCAGAAAGGGACGGCUAACUACGUG
Molecule: ribosomal RNA, 494 nt
Filed under: uncultured bacterium
Lineage: Bacteria
Description: partial 16S ribosomal RNA
Rfam family: Bacterial small subunit ribosomal RNA
Source: RNAcentral